GAUGAACGCUGGCGGCGUGCCUAAUACAUGCCAGUCGAGCGAACAGACGAGGAGCUUGCUCCUCUGACGUUAGCGGCGGACGGGUGAGUAACACGUGGAUAACCUACCUAUAAGACUGGGAUAACUUCGGGAAACCGGAGCUAAUACCGGAUAAUAUAUUGAACCGCAUGGUUCAAUAGUGAAAGACGGUUUUGCUGUCACUUAUAGAUGGAUCCGCGCCGCAUUAGCUAGUUGGUAAGGUAACGGCUUACCAAGGCAACGAUGCGUAGCCGACCUGAGAGGGUGAUCGGCCACGCUGGAACUGAGACACGGUCCAGACUCCUACGGGAGGCAGCAGUAGGGAAUCUUCCGCAAUGGGCGAAAGCUUGACGGAGCAACGCCGCGUGAGUGAUGAAGGUCUUCGGAUCGUAAAACUCUGUUAUUAGGGAAGAACAAAUGUGUAAGUAACUAUGCACGUCUUGACGGUACCUAAUCAGAAAGCCACGGCUAACUACGUG
RNAcentral lists this ribosomal RNA (497 nucleotides) under uncultured bacterium. Its description in RNAcentral is "partial 16S ribosomal RNA". It matches the Rfam family "Bacterial small subunit ribosomal RNA", at positions 28 to 507 of the family's 1533-position model. The record is from RNAcentral.